UGUGAGUGUAAAAUCAUCUCAACAAUUCUCAAAAAUUAUAGUAAUACAAGGAAAUAAAAUGGAGAAAUUUGGAAGCAUGCCCCAUAGAUUCCAGAAAUUGGAUAGUCAAACAUAAACUCAAAUUUUAAUGGCAAGAAUUCAAAUACUAACGUCAACCAUCUACGAUAUAAAAAAUAAAACUCAACAAGUACCAAAGAAAUUUUUGAUGACGCAUGUAUUCAGCACAAAAAAAAAAAGGCAUAAAAAUUCAAGGCAAAAGAUGUCCCUGAAGGACAAUUGUACUUUCUACAAAAGCAGAGCGCUUAGCCUCUUAAAUGAAAAUGCAUUGGUUAAAAUAUACUCAAGCUGUUAUGUCCAUUAGGCAAAUUCCAAAAUCAAUUUCACCAUCCCAAAUUCACGAUAAUAGCCAUUAGGCAAAUUCCAAAAUCGACUACUACUUCAUAAAAAAGUGAUUAAACCACAUCAAAGUUUAUUUCUUUGAUCGACAAUUUAGCUAUCGCACAAAAUAUCAACUCCUUGAACACCACAAAAAUGAUAAGGAUAUAUCGUUAGUAAAACUACGAAGAGAAUUUGAUUAACAUAUGAGCUCUAACCGAAAUACAUCUAUAAACACCACACCUUCCAAAAAAAUGAUUAAGGGUACAACUAGAAUACUAACAUAAUAUAGAUCCAUAAAACAUCAACACAUAAAGACUACCCCGUGCAAAACUUCAUCAUGGUACAUGUGAAGAAGUCCAUAUGAAUUACAUAACAACAUAUAAUUGGAGAACUCUUUGAAAAAGAAAAUAGAACUACGAAGAUAAGCAUCAAUCACUAAGGUAAUUUCCUUCAAAUGUUGUCAUGAUCUUAAGUCAUUUUAUAUAAAUAAUCAUUUUGGUAGCCAAAUAAAAAACUAAUGUUCAAUUCAAAUAAACCACUUAUCAACUUCUUGAUUUUAAACAACCUAAUCUUCAAUUGAGAAUGAACGUAAAUGUAAAUAGAACUAAAAUAGAAAAGAAGUUAAGCAUACCUUUGUUAUGAUUACAGCGAAGCCACAUCGAUGUACCUAAUUGGCAUGCAAUUGUACUUCCUAAUGCCUCUUCAAGAAGAAAAAGCUCACAUGUUGGACAAUAUAAGCUAACAUUAUUAAUCACUUCAUUAAUCCAAACUCUCCAACAUUUAUUACCAAGGGGUACAUGAUGCACUAGAUCACUUGGAUUUGUUGAUACGGUUUCAACUUUUGCAGCAAUACCAGCUUUUCCAAACCAAGACAACAAUUUGCAUUUCUUAUUUAGAAGGUUAUCUACACCAUUCAAGUUGUUGUCUCUAGGUUGUAAAAUUCAUAUUUAAUUAUACAAUUUAUUAUUUUGAAUAUAGAAAGUAUAUGUAAUUUAGAAUAAUAUUCAUUGAUUCUAGUUUUUCAUUUACAUUAUCUUUUUGUUCAACAUUUUUACUCUUCACUUGAAAUAAAGCUUUUAACUCUUUAAUUUAAUCUCUCAACUCUUAGACUUGAGUUUGCAAGUUAUGAUUGUGCACCAAAGCAUUCAACUUUGAAGGAGUUGUAUCGAAACCAAGACAUUUUACCUGUCCUCGACAUUCUGGAGCAAGUACUCUUGCAAUAACACUAUCUUUGAGGGAGUAUUUGCUUGACGAGAUAACUAUCUCUGAAUAUGUUUUUAUUUUGUUCUAAUAUGAGGAAAUACAUUAACGGGCUAAAAUUAUAAAUAUAAGCUUUGAAUGGUCAGAAAUUACUAAAAGCAAUAUUUUUACCAAUGUUUCCCCAAUUGAUU
Molecule: long non-coding RNA, 1769 nt
Filed under: Olea europaea subsp. europaea
Lineage: Eukaryota; Viridiplantae; Streptophyta; Magnoliopsida; Lamiales; Oleaceae
Source: RNAcentral